GCCCAACGCACGGCCAAAAUGCGAAGCUUUUUCCAUAAAGGACCAAUUGUGAAACUUUUGAUAAAGUUAAGAGUUAAAAAUAAUAAUACCUGAUAUUUGGAUGUUACGUAGAACAAUAAAUAUGAAAGAACAAAUUAAUGAAAUCAUCCAUAUGGUUUGGUGAAAUUGCAUGUUUCUUUCUAACACACCUACAAAAUGACCAUAAUACCAUUAUUAAUUUCUUUUUUGAUUUACUUAUUGUUCAUUUAAAUAAAGUGGGACCAACCCACCUAUACACACCCGUUUGGUUUCCGAUACGUUCGUAUAUCAUCUUCCCCCCUCUGAAGAACCCUAAAUCCACGGUCGACCACCGGACCAUCACAUCCAUCGACUGCCGGAAAGCAUUGGACUAUCGCCUUUUUCCAUCGUUGCUUGAUUUCUGCCUGAAUGAGGAGGGGAUGGUCGAUUUCAGAUCCUUAGACCAUCACCACCAACCACGACAAUUCGCCUACGGGAACCACUCUCUCUGGUCUCUGAAUUGUGAAGUCAACAUUAAUCAUCUAGAACCUCUUCAUAGAAAUGUUGGCAAUUUCAAGAUGCUUUUGUGUGUAGAACCCUAGCUACUCAAUUGAUUUCGAGAUGCUUUCGAUCCUAGGUUUGAAUUUGAUUUCUGAAAUUCCAAACAAGAACAUAACUGAUUUUGAUUUUCAUUUCUAAAACUAAAUGUUUGGUUUGUUUUUUUAUUUUGGUAUUCGCAAUUGGUUUCCAACGAGACGCGUCGGGAAGAGAGAGUCGAUGAUGGUGGUGUUCUAAUGUUUCCGGUGAUGGUGGCUCCAAUUUUUGUUGGUUCCUGAUGAAACCAAUGGAAGCAAAUUUGAUUCAGAGAGAACAUGAUGCCAGAAUAUGUAGGUGUCGCCGAAAUCUGCAAGUUUGAUGUUGGCGGAAUAUGCAGGUAUCGUCGGUCGACGACAAUGGUGGGGGUGGUGUUGAAUGGUAGUGGUGUUAAUGGAGGUAGAGUUUUUUUUUUUUUUUUUUUUUUUUUUUUUUUUUUUUUUUUUUUCUAAUUAGGAAAUUGUAAAUCUAUCUUAAUAAAUGAAGAUCAUUUUGCCAAAUGUCAUCUUCUCAUUAAAUUUGUCACAUGUAAUUUUGUAAACUUUUUGAUUAAUUUUAUAUCCAUAUGUCAUUUUGUGGUU
This is a long non-coding RNA of Lactuca sativa (garden lettuce), 1172 nucleotides long. RefSeq lists it as uncharacterized. NCBI's taxonomy places the organism in Eukaryota, Viridiplantae, Streptophyta, Magnoliopsida, Asterales, Asteraceae. The record is from RefSeq and is a predicted model, not a curated record.